UGGGGGCUCGUCUAACGGUAGGACGGCGGUCUCUGGAACCGUAAGUCGGGGUUCGAAUCCCUGGCCCCCAGCUA
RNAcentral lists this transfer RNA (74 nucleotides) under Chloroflexota bacterium. Its description in RNAcentral is "Chloroflexi bacterium tRNA-Gln". It matches the Rfam family "tRNA". Rfam says of the family: Transfer RNA (tRNA) molecules are approximately 80 nucleotides in length. Lineage: Bacteria; Bacillati; Chloroflexota. The record is from RNAcentral.